This 229-nucleotide ribosomal RNA is filed under the name uncultured bacterium. Its description in RNAcentral is "partial 16S ribosomal RNA". It matches the Rfam family "Bacterial small subunit ribosomal RNA", at positions 96 to 339 of the family's 1533-position model. The record is from RNAcentral.
UGGCGAACGGGUGAGUAACACGUGAGAAUCUGCCUUUAGGAAGAGGAUAACAGAUAGAAAUAUCUGCUAAAACUCUAUAUGCCAAAUUGGUGAAACAAAGUAAUUUGCCUAAAGAGGAGCUCGCGCCUGAUUAGCUAGUUGGUAAGGUAAUGGCUUACCAAGGCGACGAUCAGUAGCUGGUCUGAGAGGACGAUCAGCCACACUGGAACUGAGACACGGUCCAGACUCC